AGAGUUUGAUCAUGGCUCAGGAUAAACGCUGGCGGCGUGCCUAACACAUGCAAGUCGAACGUCCUCUGGCCGCAGGGCUGGAGGGAGUGGCGGACGGGUGAGUAACACAUGGGAACCUACCUUCCAGUGAGGAAUACCGGCGAGAAAUCGCCGACAAGACCGCAUGGGCUUCUCCUUUGGGGAAGCAAAGUUUCUUCGCGAGAGGAGACGCUGGAAGAUGGGCCUGUGGCCGAUUAGCUAGCUGGUGGGGUAAGAGCCUACCAGGGCGACGAUCGGUAGCUGGUCUGAGAGGACGAGCAGCCACACUGGGAUUGAGAACGGUCCAGACUCCUACGGGGGGCAGCAGUGAGGAAUUUUCCGCAAUGGGCGCAAGCCUGACGGAGCAACGCCGCGUGCAGGAAGACGGCCUUCGGGUUGUAAACUGCUUUUCUGAGGGACGAGCAAGGACGGUACCUCAGGAACAAGCCCCGGCUAACUACGUGCCAGCAGCCGCGGUAAUACGUGUU
RNAcentral lists this ribosomal RNA (506 nucleotides) under uncultured soil bacterium. RNAcentral describes it as "bacterial SSU rRNA". It matches the Rfam family "Bacterial small subunit ribosomal RNA", at positions 8 to 531 of the family's 1533-position model. The record is from RNAcentral.